Molecule: ribosomal RNA, 554 nt
Filed under: uncultured archaeon
Lineage: Archaea
Description: bacterial SSU rRNA
Rfam family: Archaeal small subunit ribosomal RNA
Source: RNAcentral
UCGGGGUGCAGCAGGCGCGAAAACUUUACAAUGCUGGCAACAGCGAUAAGGGGACCUCGAGUGCCAGGAUACAAUCUUGGCUGUCGUAAUGCCUAAAAAGCAUUGCAUAGCAAGGGCCGGGCAAGACCGGUGCCAGCCGCCGCGGUAACACCGGCGGCUCGAGUGGUAACCGCUAUUAUUGGGUCUAAAGGGUCUGUAGCCGGCCGGAUAAGUCUUUUGGGAAAUCCAGCUGCUUAACAGUUGGGCUUUCAGAAGAUACUGUUCGGCUCGAGACCGGGAGAGGUGAGAGGUACUUCAGGGGUAGGGGUGAAAUCUUGUAAUCCUUGAAGGACCACCAGUGGCGAAGGCGUCUCACCAGAACGGAUCUGACGGCAAGGGACGAAAGCUAGGGGCACGAACCGGAUUAGAUACCCGGGUAGUCCUAGCCGUAAACGAUACUCGCUAGGUGUCAGCCACGGUGCGACCGUGGUUGGUGCCGUAGGGAAGCCGUGAAGCGAGCCACCUGGGAAGUACGGCCGCAAGGCUGAAACUUAAAGGAAUUGGCGGGGGAGCAC